CUUUAAGAGAGUUUGAUCUUGGCUCAGGGUGAACGCUGGCGGCGUGCUUAAUGCAUGCAAGUCGAGCGCGCCUGCAUCGCUUCGGUGGUGCAGGAAAGCGGCAAACGGCUGAGUAACGCGUGAGUAACCUGUCCUUCGGUGGGGUAAAACCCCGAGAAAUCGAGGCUAAUACCGCAUGUGGUCCCUGUGCCUUGGUGCAGGGAAGAAAGCCUUCGGGCGCCGGAGGAGGGGCUCGCGUCCUAUCAUGGUAGUUGGUGGGGUAAUGGCCUACCAAGCCUAUGACGGGUAGCUGGUCUGAGAGGAUGAUCAGCCAGAGGGGGACUGAGACACGGCCCCCACUCCUACGG
RNAcentral lists this ribosomal RNA (347 nucleotides) under Dehalococcoidia bacterium. Its description in RNAcentral is "bacterial SSU rRNA". It matches the Rfam family "Bacterial small subunit ribosomal RNA", at positions 1 to 344 of the family's 1533-position model. Lineage: Bacteria; Bacillati; Chloroflexota; Dehalococcoidia. The record is from RNAcentral.